Molecule: long non-coding RNA, 246 nt
Filed under: Homo sapiens (human)
Lineage: Eukaryota; Metazoa; Chordata; Mammalia; Primates; Hominidae
Description: non-protein coding lnc-SUCNR1-2:1
Source: RNAcentral
GUUAGCAUUUAGACAAUUUAUUAUAUAUAAAUCUAGCUCUGACUGUCAAGUUCCUUUUUACUGCUAUGUUCAUAAGACUUGAUGAUAUUUAUUAAAUCUCUCAAGUCAUCUUUCCUUUUCAUCAUUCUUCAGCACUCUGUUUUUAAUAGCCAAUGCUUAGUCAAGUUAAUUUAAAGAUUUACUGUCCAGAAGUUACAGUAAAUUUUUUUUUUUUUUUACCAAAAAUGGUGUGAGUAAUGACCUGUU